UACGUAGGGUGCGAGCGUUGUCCGGAAUUACUGGGCGUAAAGAGUUCGUAGGUGGUUUGUCGCGUUGUCCGUGAAAACUCACAACUCAAUUGUGGGCGUGCGGGCGAUACGGGCAGACUGGAGUACUGCAGGGGAGACUGGAAUUCCUGGUGUAGCGGUGGAAUGCGCAGAUAUCAGGAGGAACACCGGUGGCGAAGGCGGGUCUCUGGGCCGAUAUCGACGCUGAGGAGCGAAAGCGUGGGGAGCGAACAGG
Molecule: ribosomal RNA, 253 nt
Filed under: uncultured bacterium
Lineage: Bacteria
Description: partial 16S ribosomal RNA
Rfam family: Bacterial small subunit ribosomal RNA
Source: RNAcentral